GACUCAGUGGUUCAAUGGCAAAGCAAUCGCCGCGUGAGCCAGAAGGUCCUGGGUUCAAUCCCCUAUGGGGUCG
Molecule: transfer RNA, 73 nt
Filed under: Schistosoma japonicum
Lineage: Eukaryota; Metazoa; Platyhelminthes; Trematoda; Strigeidida; Schistosomatidae
Description: tRNA-Thr
Source: RNAcentral